AUUGAACGCUGGCGGCAUGCCUUACACAUGCAAGUCGAACGGCAGCACGGGUGCUUGCACCUGGUGGCGAGUGGCGAACGGGUGAGUAAUACAUCGGAACAUGUCCUGUAGUGGGGGAUAGCCCGGCGAAAGCCGGAUUAAUACCGCAUACGAUCUACGGAUGAAAGCGGGGGACCUUCGGGCCUCGCGCUAUAGGGUUGGCCGAUGGCUGAUUAGCUAGUUGGUGGGGUAAAGGCCUACCCAGGCGACGAUCAGUAGAUGGUCUGAGAGGACGACCAGCCACACUGGGACUGAGACACGGCCCAGACUCCUACGGGAGGCAGCAGUGGGGAAUUUUGGACAAUGGGCGAAAGCCUGAUCCAGCAAUGCCGCGUGUGUGAAGAAGGCCUUCGGGUUGUAAAGCACUUUUGUCCGGAAAGAAAUCCUUGGCUCUAAUACAGUCGGGGGAUGACGGUACCGGAAGAAUAAGCACCGGCUAACUACGUG
RNAcentral lists this ribosomal RNA (486 nucleotides) under uncultured bacterium. Its description in RNAcentral is "partial 16S ribosomal RNA". It matches the Rfam family "Bacterial small subunit ribosomal RNA", at positions 30 to 507 of the family's 1533-position model. The record is from RNAcentral.